UACGAACCGUACGAACGUUAUUCGGAAUCAUUGGGCUUAAAGGGUACGUAGGCGGCGCUGUAAGUCGGGUGUGAAAGCCCUCGGCUCAACCGCGGAAUUGCGCCUGAUACUGCAACGCUUGAGGGAGACAGAGGUAAGCGGAACUGCUGGUGGAGCGGUGAAAUGCGUUGAUAUCAUCAGGAACACCAGUGGCGAAAGCGGCUUACUGGGUCUCUUCUGACGCUGAGGUACGAAAGCUAGGGGAGCGAAGGGG
RNAcentral lists this ribosomal RNA (253 nucleotides) under uncultured bacterium. RNAcentral describes it as "partial 16S ribosomal RNA". It matches the Rfam family "Bacterial small subunit ribosomal RNA", at positions 524 to 776 of the family's 1533-position model. The record is from RNAcentral.